This 465-nucleotide ribosomal RNA is filed under the name Vreelandella stevensii. RNAcentral's name for it is "partial 16S ribosomal RNA". It matches the Rfam family "Bacterial small subunit ribosomal RNA", at positions 338 to 795 of the family's 1533-position model. The record is from RNAcentral. Lineage: Bacteria; Pseudomonadati; Pseudomonadota; Gammaproteobacteria; Oceanospirillales; Halomonadaceae.
CCUACGGGGGGCAGCAGUGGGGAAUAUUGGACAAUGGGCGAAAGCCUGAUCCAGCCAUGCCGCGUGUGUGAAGAAGGCCUUCGGGUUGUAAAGCACUUUCAGUGGGGAAGAAAGCCUUGGGGCUAAUACCCUCGAGGAAGGACAUCACCCACAGAAGAAGCACCGGCUAACUCCGUGCCAGCAGCCGCGGUAAUACGGAGGGUGCGAGCGUUAAUCGGAAUUACUGGGCGUAAAGCGCGCGUAGGCGGUCUGAUAAGCCGGUUGUGAAAGCCCCGGGCUCAACCUGGGAACGGCAUCCGGAACUGUCAGGCUAGAGUGCAGGAGAGGAAGGUAGAAUUCCCGGUGGAGCGGUGAAAUGCGUAGAGAUCGGGAGGAAUACCAGUGGCGAAGGCGGCCUUCUGGACUGACACUGACGCUGAGGUGCGAAAGCGUGGGUAGCAAACAGGAUUAGAUACCCGAGUAGUC